GUGUUUUUAAUUGAUAAGGGGGGGGGUCGCACUCAGAGGCUUGCUAUGUGAAAGGGGUCACCAGUACAAAAGUUUGAGAGCCACUGGACUAGAAGAUCUGGUGAGUCCUUCUGGCUUUGUACCCUAGAGGGAGCUGUGAAGGCCGCUCUGCUGUCUGAACAACAAAGCCAAAUGCACUGAAAUUUGAAAAGGAGUCAGGCCCCUGGUGCCAGGCGUGGAACAAAGGCCUGGGGGUGAUGAGGUGGACACUGCUCACAGGAUCCAAAAAAAUGGAGAAGGCCAGGCCUGCACCCUGCCUGUGGAGAGCCUGUGGAGACAGCCAGAUGAAUAACAAAGGCAGGGAAGAGUCUCACCUGUGGAGGAGGUUGGGUGAGAGUGGAGCAGCUGGAGUGGCAGCACCAGACAGCAGAGACUGGAGGCAGACCUGCUGCUGAAGGAUGAACCACGCACCUGCCAGGAGAACAUUCAGCAGCUGGAGGCCAAGAUGCAGGAGCAGGCCACCAGGAUUGGGAGCAAGGCAGUGGGAGCCGUGGAGGGGAAGCUGAGGGAAGCAAGAGAUGCUGGAGAAGGGCUGUAGAGGAAGAGCCGGCAGGACUGCAUAAGAGAGCUCCAAGCUGAGGGGGAGAUAACCAGACACCCCAAGAUCUGUCACGCAUCCUAAGGGCUUUGGCAUCAUUAGCAAAACUCUAAGGCAGAGGUUCCCAAACUGUGGUUCAUGACACAUCUCUGGGGGGUACACAGGAGAAAUUGUGAAAUGGGGGAUUUUAUUUAUUAACUAUUUUAUUUAUUGCAUUUUCAUAACAGGCUACUCAGACAAAGCUUAAAAAAUGUGGGAAUUCGUUAUAUAAAAUAUGAUAGUUAAUUUACUUCAAAAUUUAUCAAUGAGUACACAGAGACACAGACAUACAGAGCCCUCACCUCCAAUCACGAAACAGUGCGGGCUCAGUGGCCCAGCAACUGUCCAGAAUAAUUGAGCCCAGAACUUAGUCAAGGGGUUUUUUUUUGGUUGUAUACAUCACAUUUUAACUAACGAUAUCUGUACAUAACAGUGAAAUAUGGACAGAUGGCUUAAAACGGUUAGUGCGAAGAACAUACAUAUCAGUGAUGAGAAGGGUGGAGUACACAGGCAGCUGGUAUCUAAAAGGGUGUCAUAAGGAGGAGGGAGAAAACUUGUUCAUCUUAGCCUCUAAAGAUAGAACAAAAGGCAAUGGUCUUAAACUGCAGCAAGGGAGGUUUAGGUUAGGCAUUAGGAAAAAGUUCCUAAACUGUCAGGAGAGUUAAACACUGGAGUAAAGUGCCUAGCAAAGUUACAGAAACUCAUCUCUGAAGCUA
This 1332-nucleotide long non-coding RNA is filed under the name Gopherus agassizii (Agassiz's desert tortoise). RNAcentral's name for it is "lncRNA (ENSGAGG00000024440.1)". The record is from RNAcentral. Lineage: Eukaryota; Metazoa; Chordata; Testudines; Testudinidae.